UAUCCGGGAAAAUACUGAAAA
This 21-nucleotide non-coding RNA is filed under the name Caenorhabditis elegans. The record is from RNAcentral. Lineage: Eukaryota; Metazoa; Nematoda; Chromadorea; Rhabditida; Rhabditidae.